This 253-nucleotide ribosomal RNA is filed under the name uncultured bacterium. RNAcentral's name for it is "partial 16S ribosomal RNA". It matches the Rfam family "Bacterial small subunit ribosomal RNA", at positions 524 to 776 of the family's 1533-position model. The record is from RNAcentral.
UACGGAGGGAGCUAGCGUUGUUCGGAAUUACUGGGCGUAAAGGGCGCGUAGGCGGCCUGCUAAGUCACACGUGAAAUCCCUCGGCUCAACCGGGGAACUGCGUGUGAUACUGGCGGGCUUGAAUUCGGGAGAGGGAUGUGGAAUUCCAGGUGUAGCGGUGAAAUGCGUAGAUAUCUGGAGGAACACCGGUGGCGAAGGCGGCAUCCUGGACCGAGAUUGACGCUGAGGCGCGAAAGCUAGGGGAGCAAACGGG